This 990-nucleotide long non-coding RNA is filed under the name Ananas comosus (pineapple). RNAcentral's name for it is "long non-coding RNA (ACOM_LNC022806)". Lineage: Eukaryota; Viridiplantae; Streptophyta; Magnoliopsida; Poales; Bromeliaceae. The record is from RNAcentral.
GGGAUUAUUAAAUUUUAGGAGAGAUAACUAAAUUCUAAUUGCUAUUAUCUCAAUCCUACCAACUCUUUUAUAUUUUCGAAACUAUAGUAACUCUACACACUCUCUCUAUAUAUAGAGUAAGACUUGUGUGCUAUGAGGAGCACGGAGAUAAUCGUAGUCCUAAGCUGUUUUCUAUGAUAGGACUUUCAAAACGACGAUCGUUUCUAUAAGAGUUGAUUUAGCAUAUUUGAGAUAUUUACAAAAUAUUUUUUGCAAAUUUUCAAUAUUAUUUAUCUAAUGGUCAAAACGAUUCAAAAUCAAUAAUUUUUAAUAAUUGAUGUAUGCCAUUUGCAAGUUUAACGGUAUAAAGUAUUCAAAUUAGAUGAAAUUUUAAUAAAAAAUUAUUUAUACUAUUUAUUGUAAGAUCAAUAUCUCUAAUCGAAAAUUUUAGUAUUAUAUCAUCACUUUUUGUGAGAUUUUUAUUUUCAGCCGUUGAUUUUGAACCCUUUCGAUCGUUAGGUAAAUGAUACUGAAAAAUCGCAAAAUUUAUUUUCCAAAUAUUUCAAAUAUGCUAGAUCAAGUUUAACAGAGUGAAUCAUCGAUUCAUAAGCUCCAUCAUCGAAAAUUGUUUAGGAGCAUGGAGGCCUCCGUACUCUUAAUAACACACAAGAUCUAUUUUAUAUAUAUAUAUAUAUAGAGAGAGAGAGAGAGAGAGAGAGAGAGAGAUUUGGGCUAGAAUACUAUUAAUACUAUUUGCCCCCUUUUGCUAUCAAAGUUUUAACCAUUAGAUCAAGCCCUUUGAUCAUUUCUAACUAUCGGAUUAAAUAUUAUAACCAAGAGGGGACCACUCAACCAUAGGGAGACCAUUCAAUUCUAAGGGACUAAUAUCAUACUAAUCCUACAAUUAGCAAAAAAUACCAAAUACUAUCAAUAGUAUUCCAGCCUAACUCUCUCUCUCUCUCUCUCUCUCUCGACAGUAUCCCAGCCUGACUCUAUAUAUAUAUAUAUAUA